AGAGUUUGAUCAUGGCUCAGAGCGAACGCUGGCGGCAUGCCUAACACAUGCAAGUCGCACGGUCGGGGCAACCCGGCAGUGGCGGACGGGUGAGUAACGCGUAGGGAUCUGUCCACGGGUGGGGGAUAACCAAGGGAAACUUUGGCUAAUACCGCAUGACACCUGCGGGUCAAAGGCGCCGGGGCAACCUGGCGUCGCCUGUGGAGGAACCUGCGUCCGAUUAGCUUGUUGGUGGGGUAACGGCCUACCAAGGCGACGAUCGGUAGCUGGUCUGAGAGGAUGAUCAGCCACACUGGGACUGAGACACGGCCCAGACUCCUACGGGAGGCAGCAGUGGGGAAUAUUGGACAAUGGGCGCAAGCCUGAUCCAGCAAUGCCGCGUGGGUGAAGAAGGUCUUCGGAUUGUAAAGCCCUUUCGGCGGGGACGAUGAUGACGGUACCCGCAGAAGAAGCCCCGGCUAACUUCGUGCCAGCAGCCGCGGUAAUACGAAGGGGGCUAGCGUUGCUCGGAAUGACUGGGCGUAAAGGGCGCGUAGGCGGUUCGCACAGUCGGAUGUGAAAUUCCCGGGCUCAACCUGGGGGCUGCAUCCGAUACGUGCGGACUUGAGUGGGGAAGAGGGUCGUGGAAUUCCCAGUGUAGAGGUGAAAUUCGUAGAUAUUGGGAAGAACACCGGUGGCGAAGGCGGCGACCUGGUCCUUGACUGACGCUGAGGCGCGACAGCGUGGGGAGCAAACAGGAUUAGAUACCCCGGUAGUCC
Molecule: ribosomal RNA, 758 nt
Filed under: uncultured bacterium
Lineage: Bacteria
Description: bacterial SSU rRNA
Rfam family: Bacterial small subunit ribosomal RNA
Source: RNAcentral